AUGCACGCUGGCGGCGUGCCUAAUCCAUGCAAGUCGAGCGAACGGACGAGAAGCUUGCUUCUCUGAUGUUAGCGGCGGACGGGUGAGUAACACGUGGAUAACCUACCUAUAAGACUGGGAUAACUUCGGGAAACCGGAGCUAAUACCGGAUAAUAUUUUGAACCGCAUGGUUCAAGAGUGAAAGACGGUCUUGCUGUCACUUAUAGAUGGAUCCGCGCUGCAUUAGCUAGUUGGUAAGGUAACGGCUUACCAAGGCAACGAUGCAUAGCCGACCUGAGAGGGUGAUCGGCCACACUGGAACUGAGACACGGUCCAGACUCCUACGGGAGGCAGCAGUAGGGAAUCUUCCGCAAUGGGCGAAAGCCUGACGGAGCAACGCCGCGUGAGUGAUGAAGGUCUUCGGAUCGUAAAACUCUGUUAUUAGGGAAGAACAUAUGUGUAAGUAACUGUGCACAUCUUGACGGUACCUAAUCAGAAAGCCACGGCUAACUACGUG
Molecule: ribosomal RNA, 496 nt
Filed under: uncultured bacterium
Lineage: Bacteria
Description: partial 16S ribosomal RNA
Rfam family: Bacterial small subunit ribosomal RNA
Source: RNAcentral